UUAAGUGAAUAAGGGCGCACGGUGGAUGCCUUGGCACUAGGAGCCGAUGAAGGACGGGACUAACACCGAUAUGCUUUGGGGAGCUGUAAGUAAGCUAUGAUCCAGAGAUUUCCGAAUGGGGGAACCCAGCAUCUUUUAUAGGAUGUUACACAGUUGUGAAUACAUAGCAGCUGUGAGGUAGACGCAGAGAACUGAAACAUCUAAGUACCUGCAGGAAGAGAAAGAAAAUUCGAUUCCCUGAGUAGCGGCGAGCGAAACGGGAAAAGCCCAAACCAACAAGCUUGCUUGUUGGGGUUGUAGGACUCCGAUAUGGUAGUUGAAACAGAUAGUCGAAAUACUUGGAAAAGUAUGUCAAAGAGGGUAAAAACCCCGUAGAUGAAAUCUGGCUCACACCUAGGAGGAUCCUGAGUACGGCGGAACACGAGGAAUUCCGUCGGAAUCCGGGAGGACCAUCUCCCAAGGCUAAAUACUCCCUAGUGACCGAUAGUGAACCAGUACCGUGAGGGAAAGGUGAAAAGCACCCCGGAAGGGGAGUGAAAUAGAUCCUGAAACCGUGUGCCUACAACAAGUUAGAGCCCGUUAAUGGGUGAUAGCGUGCCUUUUGUAGAAUGAACCGGCGAGUUACGAUUACUUGCGAGGUUAAGUUGAAAAGACGGAGCCGCAGCGAAAGCGAGUCUGAAUAGGGCGAAUGAGUAAGUGGUCGUAGACCCGAAACCAUGUGAUCUACCCAUGUCCAGGUUGAAGGUGCGGUAAAACGCACUGGAGGACCGAACCCACGUACGUUGAAAAGUGCGGGGAUGAGGUGUGGGUAGCGGAGAAAUUCCAAACGAACUUGGAGAUAGCUGGUUCUCUCCGAAAUAGCUUUAGGGCUAGCCUCGGAAUUGAGAAUGAUGGAGGUAGAGCACUGUUUGGACUAGGGGCCCAUCUCGGGUUACCGAAUUCAGAUAAACUCCGAAUGCCAUCCAUUCAUCUCUGGGAGUCAGACUGUGAGUGAUAAGAUCCAUAGUCGAAAGGGAAACAGCCCAGACCACCAGCUAAGGUCCCCAAAUAACUAUUAAGUGGAAAAGGAUGUGGGGUUGCACAGACAACUAGGAUGUUGGCUUAGAAGCAGCCACCAUUUAAAGAGUGCGUAAUAGCUCACUAGUCGAGUGACCCUGCGCCGAAAAUGUACCGGGGCUAAAUAGUUUACCGAAGCUGUGGAGUGCACCAUAAGGUGCAUUGGUAGGAGAGCGUUCUAAGGGCGUUGAAGGUAGAUCGUGAGGACUACUGGAGCGCUUAGAAGUGAGAAUGCCGGUAUGAGUAGCGAAAGACAGGUGAGAAUCCUGUCCACCGUAUGACUAAGGUUUCCUGGGGAAGGCUCGUCCGCCCAGGGUUAGUCGGGACCUAAGCCGAGGCCGACAGGCGUAGGCGAUGGACAACAGGUUGAUAUUCCUGUACCCGUUGUUUUUGUUUGAGCAAUGGAGGGACGCAGGAGGCUAAGAAGUGCAGACUGAUGGAUAUGUCUGUUCAAGCAGUGAGUCUUAGUGGGAGUCAAAUGCUUCUACUUUUAAGGACAAGCUGUGAUGAGGAGGGAAAUAAUAGUACCGAAGCUUCUGAUGUCACACUGCCAAGAAAAGCUUCUAGUGAGAAAACAAUGGCCCGUACCGCAAACCGACACAGGUAGUCGAGGAGAGCAUCCUAAGGUGAGCGAGAGAACUCUCGUUAAGGAACUCGGCAAAAUGACCCCGUAACUUCGGGAGAAGGGGUGCUGCUCUAACGAGCAGCCGCAGUGAAUAGGCCCAAGCGACUGUUUAUCAAAAACACAGGUCUCUGCAAAAUCGAAAGAUGACGUAUAGGGGCUGACGCCUGCCCGGUGCUGGAAGGUUAAGAGGAGUGCUUAGCGUAAGCGAAGGUACGAAUUGAAGCCCCAGUAAACGGCGGCCGUAACUAUAACGGUCCUAAGGUAGCGAAAUUCCUUGUCGGGUAAGUUCCG
RNAcentral lists this ribosomal RNA (1972 nucleotides) under human gut metagenome. Its description in RNAcentral is "bacterial LSU rRNA". It matches the Rfam family "Bacterial large subunit ribosomal RNA", at positions 1 to 1985 of the family's 2925-position model. The record is from RNAcentral.